This 365-nucleotide long non-coding RNA is filed under the name Brassica rapa (field mustard). RNAcentral describes it as "long non-coding RNA (BRAP_LNC007931)". The record is from RNAcentral. Lineage: Eukaryota; Viridiplantae; Streptophyta; Magnoliopsida; Brassicales; Brassicaceae.
CUUCUUCCUCCAGGGCCACCACAGAAACAACCUUCCUUGCAUAACAAGAAAGAAAGUUCCUUGGAUGACAAGAAAACCGAAGUACUAAAACCUGAUUUCUUCUUUCCUCCAAACCCGGUCACGCCUCUCCUCCCUCCCACCCCGCUUAACCCGCCUCUCCUCCCUCCCAACCCGCUAAACCCGCCGGGUAUCAUCCCUCCAAACCCUCUCAUUCCGUCUCCACCAACUCUUCCUCUCCCACCUCUACCGUUUCAACCGCCUCCUACCGGGUUAAUCCCUCCUAUUCCGUCAAUUCCUACUCUUCCACCUGUUCCGGUCAUAACUCCCCCUUCACCGCCGCCACCUACUUUCCCUAUUCCCCUCCC